This 31-nucleotide non-coding RNA is filed under the name Homo sapiens (human). Lineage: Eukaryota; Metazoa; Chordata; Mammalia; Primates; Hominidae. The record is from RNAcentral.
AAAGGNGCCAACCACCAUCUGCUAAGUGUGC